UCGGGAAUUUUGGGCAAUGGGCGAAAGCCUGACCCAGCAACGCCGCGUGAAGGAUGAAGUAUUUCGGUAUGUAAACUUCGAAAGAAUAGGAAGAAUAAAUGACGGUACUAUUUAUAAGGUCCGGCUAACUACGUGCCAGCAGCCGCGGUAAUACGUAGGGACCAAGCGUUGUUCGGAUUUACUGGGCGUAAAGGGCGCGUAGGCGGCGUAAUAAGUCACUUGUGAAAUCUCCGGGCUUAACUCGGAGCGGCCAAGUGAUACUGUUAGGCUAGAGUGCAGAAAGGGCAAUCGGAAUUCUUGGUGUAGCGGUGAAAUGCGUAGAUAUCAAGAGGAACACCUGAGGCGAAGGCGGGUUGCUAGGCUGACACUGACGCUGAGGCGCGAAAGCUAGGGUAGCAAACGGGAUUAGAUACCCAAGUAGUCCCUGAGCGGGCUGGCAAGGCGCAU
Molecule: ribosomal RNA, 447 nt
Filed under: uncultured bacterium
Lineage: Bacteria
Description: bacterial SSU rRNA
Rfam family: Bacterial small subunit ribosomal RNA
Source: RNAcentral